UACCCGCGGCAAGACGGAAAGACCCCGUGAACCUUUACUAUAGCUUGACACUGAACAUUGAGCCUUGAUGUGUAGGAUAGGUGGGAGGCUUUGAAGCGUGGACGCCAGUCUGCGUGGAGCCGACCUUGAAAUACCACCCUUUAAUGUUUGAUGUUCUAACGUGGAUCCGUAAUCCGGGUUGCGGACAGUGUCUGGUGGGUAGUUUGACUGGGGCGGUCUCCUCCUAAAGAGUAACGGAGGAGCACGAAGGUUGGCUAAUCCUGGUCGGACAUCAGGAGGUUAGUGCAAUGGCAUAAGCCAGCUUGACUGCGAGCGUGACGGCGCGAGCAGGUGCGAAAGCAGGUCAUAGUGAUCCGGUGGUUCUGAAUGGAAGGGCCAUCGCUCAACGGAUAAAAGGUACUCCGGGGAUAACAGGCUGAUACCGCCCAAGAGUUCAUAUCGACGGCGGUGUUUGGCACCUCGAUGUCGGCUCAUCACAUCCUGGGGCUGAAGUAGGUCCCAAGGGUAUGGCUGUUCGCCAUUUAAAGUGGUACGCGAGCUGGGUUUAGAACGUCGUGAGACAGUUCGGUCCCUAUCUGCCGUGGGCGCUGGAGAACUGAGGGGGGCUGCUCCUAGUACGAGAGGACCGGAGUGGACGCAUCACUGGUGUUCGGGUUGUCAUGCCAAUGGCACUGCCCGGUAGCUAAAUGCGGAAGAGAUAAGUGCUGAAAGCAUCUAAGCACGAAACUUGCCCCGA
Molecule: ribosomal RNA, 736 nt
Filed under: Salmonella enterica subsp. enterica serovar Infantis
Lineage: Bacteria; Pseudomonadati; Pseudomonadota; Gammaproteobacteria; Enterobacterales; Enterobacteriaceae
Also listed under: 1 other name
Description: partial 23S ribosomal RNA
Rfam family: Bacterial large subunit ribosomal RNA
Source: RNAcentral